GAGGAGCUGGCUCUGGUGGCAGCUGUGUCACUAACGCCCUCCUUGUUCUCAUCAGGGGUUCGUUCUUUAAAACCAGUAUGUACACGUGUUUUCUCAGACCGGCAGUGCCAAAGGCUGUAUGCGAGCCGUGAGCCUCCCGUUCACCAGCGGGGGCCCUUGGGCCCCCUCCCCUGCACCCCGCCAUGCCCAGGCCCUCCCUCUGCCCGCACCACAGGGACAGCUCCCGUCUGCGCCCGCAGCCAGCCCCGGCCCCGGGUUACUUCGAGGUCUGCUGAGCGAGCGCAACGAGUCUCUGCUGCAGGAGGUCGGAGCACGUCUGCCCUCCCGGCCAAGGGGGCUGAGCCUCCAAACCCCUCCCGGCUGGACAGCGACUGCGGCGAAGCUGCUACCGCGCCAGGUUAAAAAUAGCCCCAAGCCUGAGCGCCGAGAAGCCACCGCCAGAGAGCAGGGCUCAGCCGCUCUGCCCGCUCAGGGAGAACCAGCGAGAACCAGGGAGAAGGUUCCCAUCGGCCCGCCGCCGCGCCUCCUCCGCUCGCACCCUGCUCAGACCUGGGCCAGGAGCCACCCCAGGCCACGUCCCAGCCAGGGCUCGGCCGCCACGCCCCCGCCGCCCCUGCAUGGAAGGGGCACGAACAGCAAAGUCCUCAAGGGAAGGAUGACAGGAGCCCGGGAGGGGCAGGCGAGGGGCUGCCCUCUGCUGCGGGAGCUGUGGCCCUGCACACCGCCCUUCCAUCCUCCUCAAGGUCAUAGCCAGUUCCGGGCCAGUGUGGCCUGCAACCCAGGUGGCCGCCAGCUUUUCCACUAAACGGCCGUCAUCGUCACGACGGUGGUCCAAGGUGGAGUCAGACCCUCCCAGGUCAGGUCGUGGCCCCAGCACGCUUGAAGGAAGACUCCAGGCAAGUUCACUUCUCUGAGCCUCAGUCUUCUCAUCUUUGAGACAGGGGGCAGCUGGCACCCCUCCUGCCUCAGGGAGGUACCCAAUAGGCACACAGUGAACAGGGGCCACUGCAGGGCCCCCGGAAUGACAGAGCAGGCUGGCCAAGUCUCGCUAACGUGUAAAUCACUGCUAGCAUCCCCCAGUCUCCAGAACAAGCUGCUGGGGAGGGAGCCAAAGUCUGGGAGGGGGAGAGGGAGCUAGAGGAGACAACUGUCCCCACACACCGUGGGCCUCACUCCUGCCCCAGCCCUAACUCCAUCUGGCUUCCCAGACCCACUCUAGCUCCCAACACUGGGCUGGUCAGACUGGGCAGAGGAAGAAGCUGAGAGCCCAGGAACCCCCACUGCAGGGUGCUCGGUGGUCAGGCUCCGUGUCUGGUGCUGGGGGAGUGCACAGUGGGCCUUCAGUCUGCAGCAGGCUCACCAGCCCCGUCCCGGAACCACACAGGCUUAUUUGUGGCUGGUCGCUCUGCAAGACAGGACAGUCUGUGCCGCUGGUCCUGGCCAUGUUUCUGGGCUGGCUGAAUGCAGGGCUGAAUGCAGGCUCCCUGGCCUCUCCCCAGAAGCUACCAACUACGGGCUCACUACCGGGUUCCUCGCUCAGGCCAGGCGGGCAGAGCAGGUGUCCCGGGAGCCCCCCCAUCCCACACCAUGUCCUCGCUGCUUGUGGAGCGGCCCAGACAGCCCCGGGGAGGCCAGCUGGCCUGGUCGUGCGGAGGGGCAGACACUGCUACCCCCAUGCACCUGCCAGGAGCCUUGAGAGCGUCACAGCUCCUGCAGCACUCGAACCUCCAUCCCACUGUCUGCACGGCGCCCAGGAAGGGGUGGGCUGGGGCUGGACCCUCUGGCCAGCUGGCUAGAGGAUGAGGGGAGGGGAGGGCAGGUGACCCUGUGAAGCCCCCUGGCCCCUCACCUCUGAGCUCUGAGGGACCUGGCAUCCCCCUCGCUCACGGGGGGCAGAGCCCAUGGUCACCAUCCUCCUGGAGAGCAGGCAAGUCUGGCCCUGCCCCUCCUCAGACAGCAGUCCUGGGCCACGUGUACCCACGAGGACACCCUUAGUAUGUCACACACCCCCUACUGUGUGGUCUGGGGCAAGGGACAGACCAUUAGGAGUGCCCACAAGAGCACCACUUUCUAGGGGAGAUGGGACAUUCUGGUGUGGGGCUCUGCUGGGCUGAGCUGGGACGGGGUGGGCAGUAGCAGGGGCUGAGUGCCAAGAUUCCCGGAGAGGAGGGAUCAGGAUCUAGUCCAUGUGGGUCUAGAGACAAGUCACAUGUCCAGUGUCCUUGUCACCAAUGACCUGGCCGUCCUGAGGUCAUCCUGUGCUCAUAGCCCCAGACCUUGGGAGAAAUGGACUGCACCCCACACGUGCUCUGGGGGAACUGGGGAAGUGGUCCAUGUUUGCCUCUGGGUGGGGGCUCAGCGGGGGAAGGGGAGAGGGCAGGGAUCAGGCCGUGACUACAGAGGCCCCCCCUCCCCAGAUAGACAGCACCCUUGGCCUUCAUUCCACGUGGGGACGCACCCUCCUGCUCAGCUUGUCUCCUGGCUUCUCCAUGGAGCACCCAUCCCCCCAGCUCGGUGCUCCCCACGCCGUCUCUCUCCUACCACCAGGGCUCCGCCAUUCCUAAGAGAUCUGAUGGCCUUGAAGGGCAUGCCGUCUCGGCCAGAGCCAACACAGCCACCUGCCCCGACCCCAGCCCUAGAGCUCACCCUCAACCUCACCCCCAGGGCAGGGCAGUGGGAUGCAUGGCCCGGGAGCCUUCUUUGGGCACGUUCACAGAAACAAGUGCACAGGCAAAAACAGCUGACCACGAGCAGCGAAGGAGGGGACGACAGGGACCCUUGCCACACGGGCUUAGCGCCCCCCAUCUUCCCCAGGGCUCAGAGAGGACGCCACAGACGAGGACAGGAGGACGCCACAGACGAGGACAGGCGGAGGCACUGUCCCAGCCAUAGGAUCCUAAGGAGAACAUGACGCUAGGUGUCACAUGGGGUCCUGGCUGGGGUCCUGGGACAGAGAGACAGGGCGUGAGGAAGGACCCAGGAGCCCAAACCAACUCCGGGCUCUUUCUGUAACAACGUACCCGGUUGGUUCAUUUGCCACCACAAACGCCGGCAGGAAGCACCAUGGUAAGAAGCAAGUCCAAAAGCACCUGCUGACUCUCCUCUGCACAUGCUCUGCUUAAUGGACACGGUGUUCUACAAUUAUUUUAAUUAGUUGCCAGUUUAAAAAAUUAGGAGGUUGAGCCUGAGGACUUGGAUUUCUGGCCUCUCCUGAAAGCUCAGGGGACCGGUCAAGGAUGCGGGUCAGCCACCUCUCAGCGGUGGCGUUCCCAGGCUGUCCUUCCCAAGCCACACGGGUUAGGCCGCGGUUAGGCCCCUGGGCAGUCACCCGGCUACGGUCUGCCCGAGAGAGGGCAGGCUGGCAACACGGCCAGGGGAGGAGCAGAGGGCCGGGGGCCUAGAUCCCCUCCACAGCAUGCUUGGCACCAGCUCACAUCCCGGGGAACGUAUGACCUGCACAUCCUAGAAGCCGCCCCCCGCCCUCAGAAGCAAGGAUGUGCCCCCACUGCCCACUUUAAAAAAUCACCUCUCAUAAAUUUUCACGUGGACUACACUUCUUUAACGAACAACAUGAUGUGAGGGGAAAAUAGAAGAUGUACAGUGUAAUUUCUCCUGGUUUAUUCCCCCUGUCCUGUGAGCAGUGGGAUCCGUCUCCUAGUCUCCAUCCAGCCUGGGCCUCUGCCGACGGCUCCUCGGACCACAGGUUCCCACGCAAUUGUCUCCCCCACCCCCAGCCAGCCCACAGGUCUCCUCGGGGGCACAGAGCAGGGGCCAGCAGGCCCCUGGGGCCCCCGGGACAGGACUCAAGCGCAGGCUCGUCCCCCAUUACUCUGGUCCCAGCAGCGGCAGACCUGUCCUCGGACGGGCAGGCGGAGGACGCUGGCCAGCGGACUUGACACCAAGCCCCACAUGGCUCUAGGCAGCUGGGAGUCCAUGUGCUUGGGCCACCCUGGGCCCCUGUAAAUGCCAUUCAGGGAGUCUCUGAGAUAGAAAGUCUCACCUGAGACCAAAUCCACACAAAACUGGGCAAAUUGGAGGAGGCACUGGGGGUCCUGCCCCACCAGACCAGCUCAGGGAGGGGACAGGCAGGGGCCUCACCAGAGCAGUGGCAACCCUUGCCCUGCGUCUGCCCCUGGACGCUUCCGGGUCUUCAUCUCCAUGCCUGCUUGGGGCUUGUGGAGGGACACGAUGACCACUGGCCACUGUCCCCUUAAAACCCAGCUUCUGCCGAGCAUGGGCAGUCCGCCCCUGCUUAUAGAAAUCUGAUAUUCGGGGCCUGUGGAAGGGCCAGUGGAUGGGGGACACACUGCAGAGGUGGCCUGUGGCUGGCAGCUCCCCCAUGCUCAAGGAGUUUGCUGAGGACAGGAGUGGUGCCCUGUCCGCGGGGAGCCACGGACACCGACGCAGGCUUGGCCUGGGAAUCACGGUGUCAGGGGGCCGUGUCCGGAGCUGAGGCCAAUGUGCUCUGCAGCCUAGAAGCCCCUCAAGAAGUAGUGCGGGACACGCACUGGCCCAGCACCCUGAGGGAGUCCCACGCUCCUUGGGGAGGCAUGGGGGGCUCAGACCAAGCCCCCAUCAUCAGAGGAUCUGCGAAUCAGCCUUUACUGGACUAUGGCACUGCAGGCUUCGCUGUCCCUCUGCCCCCGGGGGUGGCCCAGCGCUGCCCUCUGGGUCACUCCGAGUAGGUCUGCGACAUCCCGCCCACGAGCACGCUCCAGAGGCUGGAGAGCGUGAGUGCCCCCCACCCGCCAGGCACUGCCUCUGCCAACAUGCCCGUGUGCCCAAGAGCGCGAGCCUCAGCCGGCGACCUCACGCAGCCAGCAGGCACUCAGUCAACACGCACCUGCAGCACGGCUGGCCAGAGCAGAGGGCCCGCCGCAUCCCUCCGAGAUGGGGCAGGCCCACGGCUAGCACCGACACGCCCUGAGGAGGCCGAGGGUGGAGGGCGCAGCGGAGGGCCGAGUCCCAGCAGGCACCGAGGACCAGGGGACGGCAGCCACCGCCUGGCAGGAAAGAUGGGGGCCCUGGCCCACACAGCUGCGGUCCGUCCAGCAGGCAGGCAGCAUUAGCUGAGGGUGCCACGGGCGGCCCGAGUAGCGCUUCGAAGGAGGGAGAGAUCGGGAGAUGUGUUCUGGUGCGGCAGGUGGGGAGGCUUCAGACGGGAGCAGAAACCGAAGGGUGAAAAAGAGGACGCCUUUCUUGAUGGAGUCAACACUCGAGCUCUUAUUUCUGACCUUUUACCACUGAGAAGACCAAGGGCCAGAGCCAGGGCAGGGCAGGAAGAAGGCCAAGGCACCUCCCCCAUGAAGGAGUACCAAGAUGAAGUUGGCGAUGGCGGUGAUGGCGGUGAUGAUGACGAUGGUGAUGGUGGUGGUGAUGGUGGUGAUGGUGAUGAUGGCGGUGUUGGUGACAGUAAUGGUGAUGGCGAUGGUGGUGGUGGUGAUGGUAGUGAUGGCGGUGAUGAUGAUGGUGAUGGCGAUGGUGGUGAUGGUGGUGGUGGACGCAGUAUGGCACAGCCACACUGUCUUGUGACUUCCAUCUCUGGUGGAUUCUAAGUUUUACUCAGUCAUGUACUGAAGCUUCACAACCACACUUUUUCGGGGACACAAAUGUGCCUCAAUUUUACAGAAGACAAAUGAAGCAACUGUUUCAGGCCUCACACUCAGGAAGCAGGAUUUGAAAUCAGGGCCUGAAGACAGAGGGUGUCAUUACCACACUGCUACUCAGUGGGGAAUGACACACGUCUGACGAGGGAACCAGGACCCCCACUUCUGCCUGAAGUGUACCAGGGAGCCACACACCCACCUUUCUGCAUCCCAGGUGAGUAGCAGGAAGCCUAGUCUACCAGGGCCCCACGGCCCCCUGACUUUGCCUGUGAUACCGUCCCUAGACCUGACGGGUCCUUUGGGUGGAUGCAGGGGACAGAGGUGGUAUUUGUGGUAUGACCAGCCACACAUCAGAAAGAGGCCUUGAGGGGACAGGGCAGACCCCUUCUCUCCAGCCUGCAUAGCCUGAUACACAGGGACCUGGACUGGACCACUUUGGGUCCCCCCAGCGCAGGGCCUUAAAACCAACCUGAAGGAAGAGCCCAUCUUCAGCCCUGGAACAGAGAACAUUUUUGGGCCAUGGGUGGGCAGGAGACCAGUCCUCUUGAAGGACAGGAGUGAGAUGGCAACUGACUCAGAGGAGAGCAGGGGUCUCUUCUCCCCCUCGCACAAGGCCAGCAGUGAGCCUCGGGGGCAGGGGGUGGGGACAGGGAAGCAUCCGUCCAUGCUGUGACACAAACCUGGUGGGGAAAGAGGAACUUUAUUCCCAGAAACUCAGGGAGCCGGUGGCUCCUCGCAGCCCUUACCAUGUUGGCACUGCCGGUCCCUGCCUGGCAUCCGGGAGCAUCCUGUGAGCCUGCAAAGGUGGAUACAGGCUCAGCUCCCCCAGGAGAGAAUGAGGUGACCACAGCCCCUUCCCUGCAGAGUUGCCUACCUCCCCUGAGAGGACACUCAGCCCAUCAGGCUGCCUGGUGACUCCUCGUCUGUGUCUCCUUUCCGACACCUUUGUUAUCAGGGGUCAGAGGCCGAGGGCCCCCAGGGGCCUGCUGAUGAGGCUGUACUGCCCCCACAGCACUCUGAGGUCACAGCCCUGUCCAGACCUUAGGAGGUCUCCGACCUCUGACCUCCUCUGAUGUGGAGGAGAAGUAGGCAUGGGGGUGGGGCAUUCCAGACGGAGGGGACAGCAGGUGCAAAGGCCCUAAACAGGAAUGUGCUUCCCACCAGUCUGGUGGGGGCUCUCCCCAGGACGGUGCCGGGGAUACGGCUCCCCCACGUCUGGUGAGGAGGGGUCCGCCAGCAAGGCUACAGGGCCCUUUGGGCUGCCGGAAGCUGGGGCGGGCAGCCAGGGCACCCCAUCCCCCCGCUGGGCCGCCCGCAAAAUCCAGCGCCACCAGGAGCCACGACUGUGGCUGGGGUCCACGGCCGAUAAGGCGGGCAGCUCCCUCUGCUGCUCCGGGCCACUCCCACCCAGACCGGGCGAGGGAAUCCUGGUUCACAGCAGAGGACGCCCGGAGGACCCGGAACCACCUGCUGCCCCGGGGGCGGGGGCGGGGGCGGGGCUCCCCGGCUUGCGUGGGAGGCGCGGCUCCCCACCCACCGCCCUGUGCACGCGCGCAUUCCUGCACGGAGGCUCCCGCGCGCAGACACUCCUGCGAACACGCGCAGGCACGCGCACCGCCCCACGCGCAGGUGCGCUCACCCUCACGCCUGCGCCGGACAAGGCCUCGCGCGCCCCCUGGUGGCCACGUCCCACAGCACACGCCAGCCCACCAGGGCGCUCCCACCACCCGCUGCAGCCUGGGAGCCAGCCGUGGAUAUGGGUGAUCUACUGGGGGGCGCCGCUGGGACUGGACUCUGAACUUGACCUGCCUCCAGAGCUCCUGCUUCCCAGUCCUCGUUUGCAUGAAUAAAACCAUAUUUUCCCCCAAAACACUCUUACAUCAUGUUAAUAUGGGACUACGGAAUUACUUUAUUUUCCAAAGAAUGUUUCUGGAGAUUGGGGAUGCUUUCCACGCCUCCGCGUCUGGGCCUCGGUGCCGGAGGCAGCUGGCGUCCACGCCGGGCAGGACCAUCCUCACUGGCUGUCGCCGUGUCCCCGAUGACGUCCCUUCCUGCCUCCACCUCUGAGGCCCAGACUGGCGGAGCACGCCUGCGCCUCCUGCUUGCUGGACACGUUUCUCUAAAGAUGUUCACUCGGACGAACGCGUUUCUCACUGUCGACGCUGCGGUGUUUCCUCUCUCCUCUCUCUGCCUUUGGCCAGGCUGCUGCCAUACAGCACAAACCUGGGAUAGCCACAGGCAUCCGCCUCCCCCCACCCCGAGGCAGCUGCCAACCUCUCUCUUCC
RNA transcript from Lutra lutra (Eurasian river otter), 7891 nucleotides. It is a transcript of the gene named WAS/WASL-interacting protein family member 2-like, with no coding region annotated. NCBI's taxonomy places the organism in Eukaryota, Metazoa, Chordata, Mammalia, Carnivora, Mustelidae. The record is from RefSeq and is a predicted model, not a curated record. The transcript has 3 exons.